AAGUAACUUGUUCACAACUAGGCUACCCUGACUCGUCGCAGCAGAGUUUCUCCCGCUACUGAGGACUGUUCAACCAGACAACAAUGGUGAAGGUAUACGUGCACACCACUGGACUACAUCUGGAUUGUCAUGAGCAGUUUAAAGCACGUAUAGCUAGCCGGGUCCAUGUCCGGCAAGAGUCCAAUCCUAAUGACUGUAACCUCAUUCUUGCAUUCUGUACAAUCACCUCUCGAGUUGGAACUGAUGUUGAAGCGGCUGUCAAUGAGAUCCCAGGGAACCAACCUGUGAUCCUUGUGGUUUUUCAUCACACCUUUGACGUAGACUAUGUUGUGCCAGACAGUAGAAGAUUCAUAGGCCGACAAAAUGUUCUUCUUGUUAACAUCCUGUUCCACGAAACCCAUCAGGGACUCCUGAGGUGCUUGCAGAAUGAUGAAGAACUGAAAACAGUAUCAGAUUAUCUCAUACGUCAAGGGGCUGAGGCUCCCUCUGCACCUGCACCUGCACCUGCAUCACCAUCCAACAACGGUGACAGAAGGCGUUGGAUUGGUGGUUUCAUUUGUUUGGUAGUUCUGAUUGUUGUUGUAGUUAUUCUUGUUUUGGUAAUUGAAUAUCAACAGGGUAAUCUGGGCAGUUGGAGUAACAGCUCCAGUGGUUCCAUAGCAGGCCCCAAUGAUUCCAUAAAAGACCCCAAUGAUUCCAUAACAGACCCGAACAUGCUGUAGCAAGUUGUAGUUGAUUUGUAUCUUUUUGUGUGGAAAUUAAAGAAAUAGUCCUCCUAUCCAAUGAUAUAUGUAUAUGAAAUCAACAUCUUAUGGCUAUGUUACUUGCGGCAAAUCAUUUUAUUCAAAUUGCGUGACAACUCACCAGACUCUAAAGUGAGCAAAGAAGAUCAUCUCCAACUUUCACUUCCUGCUCAGGACCUCUUUCAGCAGCUUCUAUCAUGGAGGCGCCUCUGGCCACGACAGCCGACACUUCACUAACACCUUUUACGCUAUAGCUAUGACUCUUAACUCUACUUUCAUCUUUCCUCUUUUGACCUCUGUCAUACAUACAGUACCAUGCACCUACAUUUGCACUAUGGAUGUUUCAACUAUAAAGUGGUACAUUUGCACUAUUGUAUUGUAAACAAUAAUCAUAAUGUUAAAAUCCCUCCCCCAAAAGCUUCCCUAAGCUUUUACUGCAUUAUUCUGAGUUAUACCUGUAAUUGCAAUAAACGUAACAGUGUGCGUCUAAAUACGAAGCAGGGAUACGUUUCCUAUUUUAAACAUUAUAUGGCUGCAAUAAAAAGUGUGUAUGGCUGCUAUAAGGUAGAUCACACAUGCACACUUGGCUAUUCAGACCCUCUAAUUAACGUCUCUUGUCAAUAAUGACUUAAAGAAAUAAAUGGUCUGUGUAAACACUGUCUGAGCAUCAAGAACAACCACAAGAACUGGUGGAGCCUGUUGUCCCUGGCGGUCAUGCAUGCUCUGGUUCCAGAGAGCACUUAUACUCAGGCUCCAGUUUCAGCCAUUUCUUCAGAAUGUAGCUGUUCAU
Molecule: long non-coding RNA, 1533 nt
Organism: Sardina pilchardus (European sardine)
Lineage: Eukaryota; Metazoa; Chordata; Actinopteri; Clupeiformes; Clupeidae
Exons: 3
Source: RefSeq, a predicted model, not a curated record